AGCAGACCGGGCAAUCGCGCGCGGGUUUCCGUGUGAGGAAAGUCCGAGCUCCGCAGGGCGAGGAUAACGGCUAACGGCCGCCGAGGGCGACCUCAGGGAAAGUGCAACAGAGAUAUACCGCCGGCAUUUUGCCGGUAAGGGUGGAAAGGCGAGGUAAGAGCUCACCAGCGUGCGGGAGACCGCACGGCUCUGCAAACCCUAUCCGGAGCAACACCGACCGAAGGCGAUACGUCUGCCCGACGUGCCUUUAACAGGUGGCUGGAGCUGCGCGGCAACGCGCAGCCAAGAUAGAUGAUUGUCUAUAACAGAACUCGGCUUACAGGUCUGGUCA
This 331-nucleotide RNase P RNA is filed under the name human gut metagenome. RNAcentral's name for it is "Bacterial RNase P class A". It matches the Rfam family "Bacterial RNase P class A". Rfam says of the family: Ribonuclease P (RNase P) is a ubiquitous endoribonuclease, found in archaea, bacteria and eukarya as well as chloroplasts and mitochondria. Its best characterised activity is the generation of mature 5'-ends of tRNAs by cleaving the 5'-leader elements of precursor-tRNAs. The record is from RNAcentral.